AAGGACUUUUAAUUGCAGCUGCAUUGUUGAAUAUAUUAAGAAUGAUGCGGUAAACCGGAGAGGGAGUCAUCAGCUUAUGGAUGUGUUAACACAUCCAAUGUGUUGUAAUCUUUUCGCUAAUUAAACAUGUUAAGACAUCAAUUCUAAAAAAAACUUGGUCUGCUACUUUACUUAUGUGAUGUUGGUUUACUCCAACGAUAAUGCCUAGCUAGGAUAGCCUUUCUUUAUGUCUUAAUUAUUGAUAGUGCUAUCAUCAUGGCAAGCUAUGUUGGAGUAAAAACUGUGCAGGCAAAGACAUAAGAGUGAUGGAUUUUGGAAUGAAAUGCAGAGGAUAUCAUUUUGUGCUGCUUAAGUAAAAGUUUCAUCUUCUGUUAUAUUUGUGUGUUUGAUAUUGUAGAAAAUUAAUAUAAGUUGUAUAUUCAUGAUAACUGACCGAUUAAGAUUACUUACAAUGCGAAUGAGAGCUAAACAUGAGGGUGCUGUUGGUUUACCUUGCCUGGAUGUGUUGCAGGUGCGGGGUUGUUCAAGAAAAAAGGUUUUAAAGGAUCAUUUGCAAAUGCAGGAUCUUCUGCUAAGGUAUGGGAAUUCCUAUUAUUAAAUGAUAGCAUGGCAAUCUGAGUGUAAUUAGUUUAGUUUUUUUGUGAAAUGCUAUUUACAAUGUUAGAAUGUUUCUUUGAAUUCAGUUCUAAAGGUUUCUUUUUAUAUUUCCCUUUUUGGACAUUUGUAGUUUUGUCCGGAGUGC
RNAcentral lists this long non-coding RNA (742 nucleotides) under Malus domestica (apple). Its description in RNAcentral is "long non-coding RNA (MDOM_LNC012184)". Lineage: Eukaryota; Viridiplantae; Streptophyta; Magnoliopsida; Rosales; Rosaceae. The record is from RNAcentral.